RNAcentral lists this ribosomal RNA (305 nucleotides) under uncultured bacterium. RNAcentral describes it as "bacterial SSU rRNA". It matches the Rfam family "Bacterial small subunit ribosomal RNA", at positions 337 to 658 of the family's 1533-position model. The record is from RNAcentral.
UCCUACGGGGGGCAGCAGUCGGGAAUAUUGCGCAAUGGAGGAAACUCUGACGCAGUGACGCCGCGUAUAGGAAGAAGGUUUUCGGAUUGUAAACUAUUGUCGAUAGGGAAGAAAAAAGACUGUACCUAUCAAGAAAGCUCCGGCUAACUACGUGCCAGCAGCCGCGGUAAUACGUAGGGAGCAAGCGUUAUCCGGAUUUACUGGGUGUAAAGGGAGCGUAGACGGCAGCGCAAGUCUGGAGUGAAAUGCCGGGGCCCAACCCCGGAACUGCUUUGGAAACUGUGCAGCUCGAGUGCAGGCGAGGG